AUAGUUGGCUGCAAAGCUUUUGGCGAUCAAGGCUGGACAAAGUGCGGUGCUACGUGCGUUGUUGUAUCCGAAAGCGACUCAACUGGUGCCUCCAUAUAAUUUCACGGUGCGUGAGUUCACCAAGGCCAUUUCCCAGCUCACUAACGACCUUGGCAAGUGCGGCAUCAAAAGCGAAGGCAUCUUGCUAGCUAACACAACCCUCGGGGCGGAGAACCGGACGACCAGUAACGUUCUGUCCGCCGAUGCCAAUUCGUUGUCCUACGCAAGAACAGAGCCUGAGAUGUUGAGGAUUGUGUACGGAACCGGCAAUGAGCACCUUUCCGGAGGAUUUUUCCCCUUGGGUGCAAACGGCAAAAUUGCAAGGAGCCACCUCCUUAUAUAAUACUCUUUGAUGGGAUCUUUCCUAGCAUCUAUGCUACCUAGCUAAUAACAAUAAUAUAAAUAAGGGUGAUAUAUAUGAUACAUACUACACGAGAAUAAUUAGCAUUCAUAUAUGCAUUUGAUUAUGUAUCGAUCAUAAACGUACAAAAUGAUUAAUCGAAGUGUUCUCAUUUACAUUACACCGAGCAAUCGUAUAUAUAUUAUACUUGUGCCUAUAUAUAUAUAUAUAUAUAUAUAUAUAUAUAUANNNNNNNNNNNNNNNNNNNNCUCAUCCUCCCUGUGAUUCCAUUUUUGAGGAGUGGAGGUCCGGUGAGAGAGAAAAGGAGGAAAGAAGGCGAUUGGGUUUUCGAUCGGAUUUCCGAUACCGGCGGACGGGGGCGAGCGUGACCGGUAUUGGCAGCUUGAUCUCGUUCUCCCUGACGUCGCUGUGCUAUUGGAUUUUCAUGGGAAGCUGAGGAGAGAGAGAUUCAACGAAGGGAAACUUUUCUGGGUUGCCGGCGAGUUCUCGAUUCCGGCCACGGCGGCGGGCGUGGAUGGUGUUGGUAGCUUUGUCUCGGUCUUGUCGACGUCUCUGUGCCUUCAGCUUGCAGAGGUGAGGUCCGGUGAGUGAGAAUCGAUGUAAAGGAGUGGUUUGAGUUUUCCGGCGAGGGUUCAAUGCUUUCCGGCCACCGUCGUUGGCAAGUGAGGUAUUAAACAUGAUCUUAUCAUCGAACUCUAUCUUUCUGUGUAGUUACAUUUGAGGUUGGUUGGGAUUUGAAGAAAUUGGGUUUUGGGCAGUGGAGGACCGCCGUGUAUGCUACUGUACACGGCGGCGUUGAUGAUGCUUUGGGUUUUGGAGUAGCUAUCUUUCAUAUUGAUAGAAGCUUUGGAAUAUAAUCUCCUGGUUGGUUGUAAUUGAAUUUGAGGCUGUGAUUAUUGAGAUUGAUGUGUGGGUUGUUAUUUUGGUGAAAUGAGAAGGAAUGGCAGUAAGGGGGAGGUCGGACUAGCGGCUGCAUUCUCGGUCAAGGAAUUGAAAUUGAGUAUUCAGCUGUGUUAUGAUCAACCUGAUAUUAAGGAAGGACAAGGAGAAAUCGUGGUAUUGGAAGAAAGGAUGUUAACUCGCACCUUGUUAAUUAACUGGUGCUAUCAAGUUUGGUGUAGUCAAUUGAAUUAUGGAUUUUGUGAGUUGUGAGUUGUAUGAUCGUGAUGAUUUGCAUGGUAGUCACUGUGUUGAAAAGCUGAUAUUAAUAUUGAAUAUAUAAAGGGAAGAUGCUAAUUAAAUCAUUGCUGUAUAAAUCACGAUCAGAGCCUGAAGUUGCUUGUAUAUUACUGUUAGACAGUUGUUGGAUUUAGUAUAAUGUUAGGAAAGUUGAUGGGUAGUGGUUUUGGGUGUCCAUAGAAAAAUCAGAGAUAGGUUAGUAAUUGAAGUGUUGAUAUGAGCAAGCCUAAAGGUGAAUUGGAAUGUGACGAUGAAUUUUAAUAUGAGUGAGCAUGGUAUGUAAUUAGGAAACUAUUGGAGAAAGUGAGAGGAAGUGUGGGAUUGAGAACUUGGGUGUCCUUAUCAAUUUGAGGACUUACACCCAUACAAAUUCUAGAUUCGAUACAGUUGUUGUUGAAGGUAGAGAAUUAGUAUAAAAUGUUGAACUACGAGUGGCUUGAUCACUUUAAAAGAGUACGUAGGCAGCCCGAUUAAGUUUUGGGUGCAGCCGCAAAUUAACAAAAUAAAUUUAGGUUCCAAACGCGUCAAACAUGUUCGUUGUUUUUGUUUGAUUAUGAGAUCCUAUCUCAUUUUCGAUUUAGGAUUUCCUUAUUUAUUUUAUUCAUUUAUUUUUUUUAACACCUGGGUCAGGGUGUUACAUAAGUGCAUAAAGUGAUUAAUGGGUCAAAAGUCAGUGACCAUUUAUGAUAUUUUGCCUAUUAGAAAAGAAGGAGGGUUUCGCAAGCCUUUGUUAGAUAUCAACCGUCAGAAUUUUGCAAAACUAGCUAAUGGAUCGAACAGGUAGGUUUCACCUUGAUCCUGCCAUUUGAUCCAUAUGCAGACUCACUGAAGUUUCUUUUGGCAACCUACUUGAUCCCUUAUGUUGGAGAAAAUGGUUAUGUUGGCACAGUUUCUUACCUUAGAAAAAGAAAAUAUUGUAGAGUAAGAACUCAUCUCUCACUUUCGAGAAAACUCCAUCCGUAAAAUUAUUCUUAUUACGUGAUAUUAAGUAACUUAAUAUUGAGUUUGGACAUAUAUCUACUGGUCAAUCAAUACUGUGGUUUCACAAGUUUAAAAACGAUAAACAAUAUUCACAUACGUGAGUGCGGUCAUUCCACACGCAUGCGUGCGUGCAAGAAGGCUAGUAUAGACUAAUUACAAUUUUUACAGGGUAGUUCUUGUUGUAUAUAUAGUUGGCUGCAUCACUGUUGGCGGUUGAGGCGGGACAAGAUGCAAUCGUACGUGCAUUUCUGUAUCAAAGAGCCUAUGAGAAGGUGCAGCCCUAUAACCUCACAGUGGCUCAUUUUACAAACCGUAUUUCUAUGCUUAGGAACGAGCUUGGAAUGUGUGGGAUCAAAGAUGAAGGCAUCAUAGUGCCGGAAGAGCUCGGGGCCGAGAAUCGGACGUCCAGUAACAUCAUAUCGGCCGAUCCUAGCUCGCUUGCGUAUGCAAGAACACCGCCGGAGAUAUUGAGGAUUGUUUACUCAAGUGGGAAUGAAUCACUGCCGGGAGGAUUUUACCCUGAAGGUGCAAAUGGGAAAAUUGCAAGGAGCUUCCUGAAGAUCAAGUAACACAACUAUAUCUCAAGGCCAUUAUCAGAUUGCCUGCUAAUNNNNNNNNNNNNNNNNNNNNUAAUUUGUAUGUUAAAGAGCAGUCUCAGUGAUAGAUUUUAGAAUUAAAUUUAGUUUACCUCCAUGAAGUUUGGGAGUAACUUCAUGUUAAUUCCUAUACUUUCAAUUUCAUCAGUUUACCUCUCAAACUUUUGAAUUUUCCUCAAGCGUGACCAAAUGUCCUAUAUUCUGUCCAAAUCGGAUGUUAACUACUGAUAAUUUUAACCAUAACUGUGAGGCUAGUAUCUAGAAUUUGGGCAAAUCGGACCUUAUAUGUCCAAAUCGAACCUUAACUGCUGAUAAUUAAAGGUCAAUUCAAGCGGAAUAUGAGAAUUUGGGCACGGCAGACAGAAAUUGAAGAGUUCAAGGGGUAAACUGAUGAAAAUAAAAAUGUAGAGACUAACAUGAAGUCACCCCCAAACCACAAGGGGGUAAACUGAAUUUAAUUCUAGAUUUUAACAGAUAAAUAGAUUCAGGACUUGUUCAUGUUCACUCGUGGUUAACUUUGGCUUUAACCUUUCUUGUUAGUCAAUGUUGGAUAAUAUAUCCAAGGGUAAUACAAAACAAAAGCUUGAACGUUGUUAAAUUAACCUACGUACAGCGCGGUCCAUCUGAUACCAAACAAGUAGAAGUAGUAUACUACUAUACGUACCUCUCAACUUAUAUAUAGAGGGAUCGAUGAUAGGGUUUGCGACCUUGAGUUUAAGAUGGUAGGUGGGUUAAUUAGUUAUGGGAGAAGAGUGUAGGGAGGCCGAGCCUUCGCUCUGCUUACCUAGGGAUAUAAUAUAGAAAAGUAAUUUUGACACUCUUACAACUUCCAUUCCAUUUUAACCACAUAAAACUAUGUACCACAAUCAUUAAUUACCGUAGUUGUCUUUACAAGUAAUUGAAAGGUCUUGAAAAUACUUGAUCGUUGAGUUUUGGCUUUGGAUACUAACAUUCUUCGACCAAGCAAUUGUUUUGAAUAACUCGUGAACUUAAAGUUUUCAACAAAUUAAUAAGCAAAUAAACCAUUAAAAGUGGAUUCAUGAAGGAUAAUAAGUCGAUUACUAGCUCGCAAAAAUUGGACUUCAAUGGCUUUCAAAAAUAGAGUUAAAAUCAAUUAGCAUCAAAUAAUUAGGCAUGUGAUGGUACCAUUAUAAUGAUAACAAGUACACAAGGGUGUCACAUAAUGUGGGUUUACGGAUUACCAAGAUCACGCAUCUUUAGCAUUGUGUAUAUUUUACGAGAUUAUUUUGUUAAGAAUCAUGGAUUACUAAAGCUAAAAUUGCAGAUAAAAAACGAAAAGAAAACGCAGAGAAGACUGAAGGCUACAUUGUGUUUUUGAAUGCGGAAAAAAGAGGCUAGGUUACAACAAUUAAUUGCAUAAUCCUAAUUUACAAUCUUUUGGUACCACAAAUUAAAUCCAAUUAACCAAUUACGUACUCUCUCAGCAACUGCAUGGGGUUCGGGCACGUCUAUAUAAACCCAGUAAUGCAUGCUUCAUUCACUCGUACUAACACCAUUACAGCAUUUGCUUCCUGCUUUCGUCGAUCAAUAUGGCUCCUUCAAUUUCCACUUUCUCUUCUGUCUUCCUUGUUCUUCUUGCACUGUACCUCAACCUCAGUCAUCACCAUGUCACGAGUACUCUGGUUACUAUUAGUCCCCCUAGCUGCGCACCCAUUAAUGCAGCUGAUGUUGAUCGCAUGCAGUUUGCCUGAACUUAGAAUUCUGUCAAGCCGAGUACUUUCUGUACGGCGCUACUGGCCAAGGCCUCGACAGCUAUGCUCCGGGUUUGUCCGGAGGUGGUCCGCCUCCCAUCGGUGCUCAGAAGGCCAUGCUUCUCGACGACCCUGAUGUUGCUCGCACCAGUGAGGAGAUUGCUUAUCAACAAAUUGGUAACAUCAGGUACCUGUUCGUUGAGAUAUUGUCUUGUAACCAAUAGACGUAAACAAAUCUACACAAGAUACCACCUCGAUCAGUCACACUAUUUGUUGCUAGCUACUAUAUUACGACUUGACAUAUGGUAUUGUUAUAUAUAUUUCAGGUCUAUUGUUCAGAAUGGAGGAGGAAUUCCAAGGCCUCUACUGAAUCUCGGACUCGUAAAUUGGGGAUUAUUUUUUGACCUAGCACUGAAGACACCUCUAAUCCCUCCAUUUAAUCCAUACGCGAACUCACUCAAUUUUCUGUUAGGCGCCUAUGCCAUGCCUGAUCUCGCACAAAUCUCCUAUGUCAGCUCCAUUCCGAGCCUCACCACAAAUUCUUCUUCAUUAUCUGUGAGUAUUAAGAACUGGGAUUAUCGAUCGUACAUGUAAUUAACUUACUGCAUGUAAUUAACAUUUAUUUCCUUUUUCUUUUUAUGGGAAUCACUUAUAGUUGGCUGCAAAGCUUUUGGCGAUCAAGGCUGGACAAAGUGCGGUGCUACGUGCGUUGUUGUAUCCGAAAGCGACUCAACUGGUGCCUCCAUAUAAUUUCACGGUGCGUGAGUUCACCAAGGCCAUUUCCCAGCUCACUAACGACCUUGGCAAGUGCGGCAUCAAAAGCGAAGGCAUCUUGCUAGCUAACACAACCCUCGGGGCGGAGAACCGGACGACCAGUAACGUUCUGUCCGCCGAUGCCAAUUCGUUGUCCUACGCAAGAACAGAGCCUGAGAUCUUGAGGAUUGUGUACGGAGCCGGCAAUGAGCAC
Molecule: long non-coding RNA, 5835 nt
Filed under: Fragaria vesca (wild strawberry)
Lineage: Eukaryota; Viridiplantae; Streptophyta; Magnoliopsida; Rosales; Rosaceae
Description: long non-coding RNA (FVES_LNC000784)
Source: RNAcentral